AAAUGGAAUGAUGGUGACCUAAACCCUCACCAGAGUAACAAUUGGAGGGCAAGUCUGGUGCCAGCAGCCGCGGUAAUUCCAGCUCCAAUAGCGUAUAUUAAACUUGUUGCAGUUAAAAAGCUCGUAGUUGAAUUUCUGCGUUAUCGAGUUAUUGACUCUUGUCUUUAAUCGAUUUCGCUUUUGGGAUUUAUCCCUUUUUACUUUGAGAAAAUUAGAGUGUUUCAAGCAGACUUUUGUCUUGAAUACUUCAGCAUGGAAUAAUAGAGUAGGACUUUGGUUCUAUUUUGUUGGUUUUUGAACCUUAGUAAUGGUUAAUAGGAACGGUUGGGGGCAUUCGUAUUUAACUGUCAGAGGUGAAAUUCUUAGAUUUGUUAAAGACGAACUACUGCGAAAGCAUUUGCCAAGGACGUUUCCAUUAAUCAAGAACGAAAGUUAGGGGAUCGAAGACGAUCAGAUACCGUCGUAGUCCUAACAAUAAAC
RNAcentral lists this ribosomal RNA (480 nucleotides) under Babesia venatorum (nom. ined.). RNAcentral describes it as "SSU rRNA". It matches the Rfam family "Eukaryotic small subunit ribosomal RNA", at positions 507 to 1037 of the family's 1831-position model. Lineage: Eukaryota; Apicomplexa; Aconoidasida; Piroplasmida; Babesiidae. The record is from RNAcentral.